RNAcentral lists this ribosomal RNA (497 nucleotides) under uncultured bacterium. Its description in RNAcentral is "partial 16S ribosomal RNA". It matches the Rfam family "Bacterial small subunit ribosomal RNA", at positions 28 to 507 of the family's 1533-position model. The record is from RNAcentral.
GAUGAACGCUGGCGGCGUGCCUAAUACAUGCGAGUCGAGCGAACGGACGAGAAGCUUGCUUUUCUGAUGUUAGCGGCGGACGGGUGAGUAACACGUGGAUAACCUACCUAUAAGACUGGGAUAACUUCGGGAAACCGGAGCUAAUACCGGAUAAUAUUUUGAACCGCAUGGUUCAAAAGUGAAAGACGGUCUUGCUGUCACUUAUAGAUGGAUCCGCGCUGCAUUAGCUAGUUGGUAAGGUAACGGCUUACCAAGGCAACGAUGCAUAGCCGACCUGAGAGGGUGAACGGCCACACUGGAACUGAGACACGGUCCAGACUCCUACGGGAGGCAGCAGUAGGGAAUCUUCCGCAAUGGGCGAAAGCCUGACGGAGCAACGCCGCGUGAGUGAUGAAGGUCUUCGGAUCGUAAAACUCUGUUAUUAGGGAAGAACAUAUGUGUAAGUAACUGUGCACAUCUUGACGGUACCUAAUCAGAAAGCCACGGCUAACUACGUG